UGCCUUACACAUGCAAGUCGAACGGCAGCACGGGGCAACCUGGUGGCGAGUGGCGAACGGGUGAGUAAAGCAUCGGAACGUGCCCUGGAGUGGGGAUAACGUAGCGAAAGUUACGCUAAUACCGCAUAUUCUGUGAGCAGGAAAGCAGGGGAUCGCAAGACCUUGCGCUCUGGGGAGCGGCCGAUGUCGGAUUAGCUAGUUGGUGGGGUAAAGGCCUACCAAGGCGACGAUCCGUAGCGGGUCUGAGAGGAUGAUCCGCCACACUGGGACUGAGACACGGCCCAGACUCCUACGGGAGGCAGCAGUGGGGAAUUUUGGACAAUGGGCGGAAGCCUGAUCCAGCCAUGCCGCGUGAGUGAAGAAGGCCUUCGGGUUGUAAAGCUCUUUCGGCCGGGAAGAAAUCGCAUGGGUCAAUACCCUGUGUGGAUGACGGUACCGGAAUAAGAAGCACCGGCUAACUACGUGCCAGCAGCCGCGGUAAUACGUAGGGUGCGAGCGUUAAUCGGAAUUACUGGGC
RNAcentral lists this ribosomal RNA (517 nucleotides) under uncultured bacterium. RNAcentral's name for it is "bacterial SSU rRNA". It matches the Rfam family "Bacterial small subunit ribosomal RNA", at positions 45 to 559 of the family's 1533-position model. The record is from RNAcentral.